Molecule: ribosomal RNA, 254 nt
Filed under: uncultured bacterium
Lineage: Bacteria
Description: partial 16S ribosomal RNA
Rfam family: Bacterial small subunit ribosomal RNA
Source: RNAcentral
UACGGAGGGAGCUAGCGUUGUUCGGAAUUACUGGGCGUAAAGAGCGCGUAGGCGGCUCGUUAGGUGUGAAGUGAAAUCUCCAGGGCUCAACCCGGAAACUGCUUUACAUACUGGCGAGCUGGAGUGAUGCAGAGGUUUGUGGAAUUCCUGGUGUAACGGUGAAAUGUGUUGAUAUCAGGAGGAACACCCAUGGCGAAGGCAGCAAACUGGGCAUCAACUGACGCUGAGGCGCGAAAGCGUGGGUAGCAAACAGG